This 482-nucleotide ribosomal RNA is filed under the name uncultured bacterium. RNAcentral's name for it is "bacterial SSU rRNA". It matches the Rfam family "Bacterial small subunit ribosomal RNA", at positions 29 to 506 of the family's 1533-position model. The record is from RNAcentral.
UUGAACGCUGGCGGCAUGCCUUACACAUGCAAGUCGAGCGGCAGCGCGGGGGCAACCCUGGCGGCGAGCGGCGGACGGGUGAGUAAUACAUCGGAACGUAUCCUUUCGUGGGGGAUAACCAGUCGAAAGACUGGCUAAUACCGCAUGAGAUCGAAAGAUGAAAGCAGGGGACCGCAAGGCCUUGCGCGAUUGGAGCGGCCGAUGUCGGAUUAGCUAGUUGGCGGGGUAAAAGCCCACCAAGGCUACGAUCCGUAGCUGGUUUGAGAGAACGACCAGCCACACUGGGACUGAGACACGGCCCAGACUCCUACGGGAGGCAGCAGUGGGGAAUUUUGGACAAUGGGCGCAAGCCUGAUCCAGCCAUGCCGCGUGUGUGAAGAAGGCCUUCGGGUUGUAAAGCACUUUCGGCCGGAACGAAAUCGCGCGGGCUAUUACCCCGCGUGGAUGACGGUACCGGAAGAAGAAGCACCGGCUAACUACGU